CCUACGGGUGGCAGCAGUAGGGAAUAUUGCUCAAUGGGGGAAACCCUGAAGCAGCAAAGUCGCGUGGAGGAUUAAGGUUCUACGAUUCUUAACCCUUUUUUUUAGGGGAGCUUGUGCCGGUAUCUGUCGCAUCACCACCAGCUACCUCAGUGCCAGCAGCCGCUGUAAUACGGAGGGUGGAAGCGUUACUCGGAAUCAUUGGGCGUAAAUAGGGCGUUGGCGGGGUAAUAAGUCAGAUGUGAAAUCCUGUAGCUUAACUCCAGAACUGCAUUUGAAACUGUUACUCUGGAGUGUGGGAGAGGAAGGUGGAAUGCUUGGUGUAGGGGUAAAAUGCGUAGAGAUCAAGAGGAAUACGCAUUGCGAAGGCGGCCUGCUGGAGCAUUACUGACGCUGAUGCACGAAAGCGUGGGGAUCGAACAGGAUUAGAUACCCUGGUAGUC
RNAcentral lists this ribosomal RNA (440 nucleotides) under uncultured bacterium. Its description in RNAcentral is "partial 16S ribosomal RNA". It matches the Rfam family "Bacterial small subunit ribosomal RNA", at positions 338 to 795 of the family's 1533-position model. The record is from RNAcentral.